GCAUGCAGCAGCCAUUCAUCGAUGCAGACGCACACGUUUCCACACCUCACGAACACCGUGCUCUAGCGAGCCUAAUCGUUCCACCAGUAGCUCCUCACGCCUUGCGCUCUCCACGAUGUCGUUAGACUUCCACUGACUCACGAACGCUCACGUGCAGCCCUCGUCGCCUCACCUCCUCCUCUCUUCUCGCCUUCCCUCUUUGGUGCGACCAUCGCUCUUUCUGUGUCUCUGUGCACCCCGAUGGCGAGAGGACGCACACCUCUCAGCACGUGGUGUCUCAGGGCUCAGUAUCCCUCCCCCCUCUUUCUGUGAGGAGAGGUCAAGCAGCCUUCCUCUAUAACGCUGCCAAAAUGCCGGACAACUUCGUGUAGUGACAAGCCCAAGCACCUGCGGCGCCGAGGGAAGGUACGAUCUGCUCAUCGCUGCUGAUGUCGGCGCCCGGGUUGUGGAUGGCGUUGCGUCGGACCAUAUCUGCGGCCUCGAACAUGCUUGUGGUAUCCGUACAAUUAGGCAAAGUGUCAAGACGACCCGAGCGUAUCUCGCGCAACCCCUCGCACGGCCCCCCUGGCUAGGGUGCCUGCGCGCCACCCGGAGGGAUGCAGUACGGCGCCGCCGGUGAAGCAAUGCGUGGGUGGGUAGCGCUCGAGUCAGAGGCCAUGCUCUCCAAUGACCGAACCCGCGCAUUGCUGUACCGCAUGUGUCUACUACGGCACUGCAGCACGCGACGGGACCUGGUGACUGGGCCGCCCGUAGCGUGGAGGGGACCUCAUGCUCUAUGGCACAGAAUGGCCAGGUCGAGGCGAAAACGCCCAUGGAGACUUCAGAAGCCUCGCCAGCGCUCCUUUAGAACUGACCGCACUCUUUCCCUUUCUCCAUCUCAG
Molecule: unclassified non-coding RNA, 881 nt
Filed under: Leishmania donovani
Lineage: Eukaryota; Euglenozoa; Kinetoplastea; Trypanosomatida; Trypanosomatidae
Description: gene:unknown
Source: RNAcentral